This is a long non-coding RNA of Mus musculus (house mouse), 1586 nucleotides long. RefSeq annotates it as predicted gene, 33660. Lineage: Eukaryota; Metazoa; Chordata; Mammalia; Rodentia; Muridae. The record is from RefSeq and is a predicted model, not a curated record. The transcript has 5 exons.
GAGAUCUGUGGCUGAGCAGAGCUUACCUCAUCGCCGACAUAAUCAGAAGGAAUUCAAUAACGGGGUGCUAGGGACAAAGCGCUGCCUUCAAAAACAUGCCCCUAGUGACCCUCUUCCCCUAUCCAAACCCACCAACUGAUGACUGAGCUAUUCAGCCAUGGAUUCAUGGAUGCGUUAACCCGUAGGUGAGGUCCAAGUCCUCAGGAUCCAGUUGUCUUGCAAGCGGGCACCACUGAUGUGCUGAGAACCAACAUGAGAAUCCUUAGGUGGCCAUUUAAUACUGGAUUUGAGCUCUGGCUUCAGGAAAUGUAAAAAGCUGCAGAUCCCAGGGACAGCUGCAGAUCCUGGGGACAGUAUGCUUGACUCCACAGUCACAUUCCUUCCAGCUUCUCCUCCUAUGCCUGAGAGAUGGUUCCCACUCUCCCUCUUCUCAGGACUCUAGAAUCUUCCCUUCCCCUGUCUUCCAGAAAGAGGGAAAAGUAUACCGAUGUGUCACGCUUCAUACCCUCUGGAGUUCCUUCGUGGGGACAGUUAUGCCAUGACAUCUGUUUCACUAACAUAUCAACUGAGCCAGUUUGGUACCAUGGACCCUCCCAUGUGCGCAAUGAAUAAAUGACUGACCCCAAAUAUACCAAAAAAAGCUGCAGAUCCCAGGGACAGCUGCAGAUCCUGGGGACAGUAUGCUUGACUCCACAGUGUCAUUCCUUCCAGCUUCUCCUCCUAUGCCUGAGAGAUGGUUCCCACUCUCCCUCUUCUCAGGACUCUAGAAUCUUCCCUUCCCCUGUCUUCCAGAAAGAGGGAAAAGUAUACCGAUGUGUCACGCUUCAUACCCUCUGGAGUUCCUUCGUGGGGACAGUUAUGCCAUGACAUCUGUUUCACUAACAUAUCAACUGAGCCAGUUUGGUACCAUGGACCCUCCCAUGUGCGCAAUGAAUAAAUGACUGACCCCAAAUAUACACUUUUCAGUUUGAAAUCACUCCAUCGGUCAUUAUGUGGUAUCAAGGUUUGUGGGCAACACAUGGCACUCAACAGUGCGAACACUCAAGCAUCGUGCUCAUGAACCAAAGAAAGGACCCCACUUGUCGAGUUCUUGCUGCUGCUUCUGGUGCUUUUGGAGGUCAUCAUUGCUGUGGCAGGGUGAGCUGCUCAGCAGGUGAAGUACUUGCUGCUAAGGCCUGAGCUAUGACCUGAGCUGGGACCCAUGUGAUAGAAGGAGAGAACAGACAGCUGUCCUGUGACCUACACACACACACACACACACACACACACACACACACGCACACACACACACGAAUAAAUGAGUGCACUAAAAAGUUGCUUUUGCCGUCUCUCUGGAGCAACUCUUGGUAGCUUUGAGUUGAGCUGAGACAAGGUUCUGUUUUGUUUUUAUGGACAUUUGGUUUCCCCAUCAUGGCCUAUUGAACAGACCCUCUUUUCUCCAAUACAUAUUCUGCCAGUUGUCUUGAAGAUCAGUUGUCGUGGGGGUGAAUGGUGUGGGGGUGACUUCUAGGGUUUCAACCAUCCUCUAUUGGUUCAGAUGUUGAUGUUCGUGCUAGUGGCUUUUGUUUUUUACAUUGAUGCUCUGA